UGGACAGAUUAUUGUAUUCGAUUGUAUUCAAGGAGUGAAACAGGGGAUUACACUGUUUUUAAACGGAAAGUGAAUCAAUUAACAUAAUAGACUCCU
Molecule: microRNA precursor, 96 nt
Filed under: Nicotiana attenuata
Lineage: Eukaryota; Viridiplantae; Streptophyta; Magnoliopsida; Solanales; Solanaceae
Description: MIR6152 microRNA precursor family
Rfam family: MIR6152 microRNA precursor family
Source: Rfam by way of RNAcentral